CCUACGGGGGGCAGCAGUGGGGAAUAUUGCGCAAUGGGCGAAAGCCUGACGCAGCGACGCCGCGUGAGGGAUGAAGGUCUUCGGAUCGUAAACCUCUGUCAGCAGGGAAGAACGGUCACUGUGCUAAUCAGCAGUGACUUGACGGUACCUGCACAGGAAGCACCGGCUAACUCCGUGCCAGCAGCCGCGGUAAUACGGAGGGUGCGAGCGUUAAUCGGAAUUACUGGGCGUAAAGCGCUCGUAGGCGGUAUGUCAAGUCAAGGGUGAAAUCCCCGCGCUCAACGUGGGAUCUGCCUUUGAAACUGGCAAACUGGAGUGUGUGAGAGGAUAGUGGAAUUCCAGGUGUAGGAGUGAAAUCCGUAGAUAUCUGGAGGAACAUCAGUGGCGAAGGCGACUAUCUGGCACAUAACUGACGCUGAGGAGCGAAAGCGUGGGUAGCAAACAGGAUUAGAUACCCGAGUAGUC
This 465-nucleotide ribosomal RNA is filed under the name uncultured bacterium. RNAcentral's name for it is "partial 16S ribosomal RNA". It matches the Rfam family "Bacterial small subunit ribosomal RNA", at positions 338 to 795 of the family's 1533-position model. The record is from RNAcentral.